This 85-nucleotide transfer RNA is filed under the name Felis catus (domestic cat). It matches the Rfam family "tRNA". From Rfam's summary of the family: Transfer RNA (tRNA) molecules are approximately 80 nucleotides in length. The record is from Rfam by way of RNAcentral. Lineage: Eukaryota; Metazoa; Chordata; Mammalia; Carnivora; Felidae.
GCCUGAGUGGUUCAGUCGGUUAAACAUCUCACUUCAGCUCAGAUCAUGAGCUCACAAUUUGUGGGUUCAAGCCCCAUGUCAGGCU